This 5348-nucleotide long non-coding RNA is filed under the name Sus scrofa (pig). RNAcentral's name for it is "lncRNA (ENSSSCG00025076149.1)". Lineage: Eukaryota; Metazoa; Chordata; Mammalia; Artiodactyla; Suidae. The record is from RNAcentral.
AGGAGAACAUCUUAUAAUCUUAGGGUGGACAUGACUUUUUUAAGUAAAAUGUAGUAUAAAAAUCCUCUAGGAGUUUCCUGGUGGCCUAGCAGGUUAAGGAUCCGCUGUUGUCACUGCUGUGUCAUGAGUUCGAUCCCUGGCCAGGAAACUUCCGAAUGUUACGGAGAGGACCUCAAAAUGCAAAGUCUUCUUAUGACAAAAGAUGCUGUGAACAAGAGCAAAAUAACAAUAAGAUCCUACUGUGCAGCAUGGGGAAUUAUAUCCAGUCUCUUGGGAUAGAACAUGAUGCAAGAUUGUGUGAGAUAAGGAAUGUGCAUAUAUGGGAGCUCCUGUUGUGGCUCAGUGGUUAACGAACCCGGCUAGCAUCCAUGAGGAUGCGGGUUCGAUCCCUGGCCUUCCUCAGUGGGUUAACGAUCUGGUGCUGCUGUGGCUGUGGUGUAGGCCGGCAGCUGUAGCUCUGAUUUAGCCCCUAGCCUGAGAACCUCCAUAUGCCGUGAGUGUGGCCCUAAAAGUCUAAAAGCCAAAAAAAAAAAGAAUGUGUAUAUAUGUAUGACUGGGUUGCUUGGCUAUACGGCAGAAAUGGACACAGCAUUGUAAACUGACUACACUUGAUUAAAAAAACAGACUGGGAGAAAAUAUUUGUACAUAAUGAAGCAAUAGGAAAACGAAUAAUUUUAGAAUGACUACAAAUGACCAAUACAUACCUGAGGAAUUGCAAAAAAUAACUGGAAACAAGGAAAAUGCAAAUUAUAUUUUAAGUAUAUAUAAUGUAUGUAUUAUAUAAGAAGCAUAAACUAUAUAACAUUUUAAGUAUUUAGGAUAUAAUUGUGUCUGGUUGCUCUCCAAAGGCCUCAAAGGCAAGACGAGGGGCGCUAAGUAUUCUGAUUCUGCUGGGGGACGCGUGAAGGGCACAGCUUCCUUCAGCAGUUCCGUCGAAAGAUAAAGUGUGAAAUCCCCUCUGCUAAAAUCUCGUUUCUACGUACCUCUCACAGAGAAAUCGUCUUACGUGUGUGUGUGCACGCCGAGGCCGAGACAGAGACAUUCACUCAGCACGGUUUUCAAAAAAGAAAACGCCGAAGCACCUCAAGGUCACUCGGCAGAGGGGCGUUAUUUACUUAACGCCCAGGAAGAGCGACUGCCGAUUUCACAUGAGACCAGGCUACACGUGGACUGGCGUGGCGCAGUGGGCCGGGGCUGCGCUAAGCCGCAACGCUCGGACCCGGUCCAAGAGCCCCGCGCUGACCUGCUGAGUGACUUCACCUUCUGGGCCUCGGUUUCCUCACCUGCACGUGGAAGGACCUGGACUCAUUUUCUCUCUACUCUCAAGUUCAGUCAGGAGGUGAGUCUGCAAGAAGUUUAAUGGGCUUUGAGAGCUGCUGAAGAUAAAAACUCUAUUUCUCUGCUUCCUUGUGUGUUCCGCAAAGAGAAACGGAAUCAUUUACAGAAAAGCAGCUGCAGACCUCCUCCUCACCCCGGAGGAGAGGGGACAUGACCCCCUCAGUCUAAGGCUGGACGUGACUGUUUCUCUCCCACUGUAGGAAGUCUCAGCUUCCACUUUCAGAAAACACCUGUUCACCAGAACAGUCGAUUGACCAAAAACACCAUUCACAUCUUUUUUUUUUACCAUUUCUUGGGCCGCUCCCGCGGUGUAUGGAGGUUCCCAGGCUAGGGGUCCAAUCGGAGCUAUAGUCUCCGGCCUACGCCAGAGCCACAGCAACUCGGGGUCCGAGCCAUGUCUGCGACGUACACCCCAGCUCACGGCAACGCCGGAUCCCUAACCCUCUGAGCAAGGGCAGGGAUCGAACCCGCAACCUCAUGGUUCCUAGUCGGAUUCGUUAACCACUGCGCCACGACGGGAACCCCAAUUCACAUCUUGAUUUAGGAUUUGUCAGGUACUUUCCCCCUGUCACUAGGAGGAGCCCCCAACUGUGUGUGUGUGGGGGGGUUGCCGUCACUGGCCUUACUUUGCUAUGAGGACAAGGGGCUGAGAAAAGCCGCCCCCUGCCCCCGAGGUUAGCCUAACUCAGCCUAACCUGUACAAGGUCGGCUAGUCCCGACCUCAUAUCUCAGUGGAUUUCGGGCCCGCCCUCUGCCUCCAGUAAACAGCUUAAAACUGUAAGGGUGAAACAGAGGCCUGACAUUUCCUGACGGGCACCACAGGAACCGUGCCCCAACAGCGCUGCUUCUCCGGGAGGAAAUGCAGGUGCCGCCGGGCUCAGUAGCAGGCAACAGGUCUUUCAUUCAGGUAGAAGCCCAGCAUGGAAGACCCCAGGCUCCGACUACCCUGCACCCCGGGCUCCUGUUCCCGCUCUGAUCCCGGACCAGGGAAGUUUCUCAGUCGUAAACUGAGCAGUGGGGACAGUGACAGGAUCACCGUGGCACCUGCAGGUCCCCUGGUGCAGGAUGGAGAUCCGAGGAUACGGGAGGAUAAAGCAAGCCCAGGAGGGAUGUGAGGUCUGAGACUCUGGUCCCGGGAGCACUAACAUCUUUAAGGUACGGUUGUUAUAGAGUUAACACGAGUUCUCUGGUGGUCGAAUGGCUAAGCAGUUGUCACUCCUGCGGCGAGAGUUCAAUCCCUGGCCCAGGAACUUCUGCCCGCUGCAGGCUCGGCAAAAAAAAGGAUUUAGCGUAAGUGUACAGACACCUAACCCAGUGCUAGCACACAGCAGGCAGUAUACAAUGGCUGUUAAACUGUCAGCAAGGCUGACUCACUUUAUUUAAAGUGGACUUGCUUAAACAUAAGCAUCUUCUUUUUUUUUUCUUGCUUUUUAGGGCCACACCCACGGCAUGUGGAGGUUCCCAGGCUAGGGGUUGAAUCGGAGCUGCAGCUGCCACAGCUGCCACAGCAACAUCAGAUCCUUAACCCACUGAGAGAGGCCAGUGACCAAACCUGUGUCCUCAUGGAUACUAGUCAGGUUCAUUACUGCUGAGCCACAGUGGGAACUCUCAGCAUUUUCUAAUUUAAGAGGAACACUGGUUUAACAAAGCAUUUAAUUGUACAAAUCAAGAUUUAACCUGUUACUCAGUUUGCAGUGACUUCUCAUCGAGGUUUUAAGCUGGGAAAGUAUCAACCCCAUUUUUUUAAAAAAAUAAAAUCAGGUUAGGAGUUCCCGUCGUGGGACAGUGGUUAACGAAUCCGACUAGGAACCAUGAGGUUGCGGGUUCGGUCCCUGCCCUUGCUCAGUGGGUUAAGGAUCCGGCGUUGCCCUGAGCUGUGGUGUAGGUCGCAGAUGCGGCUCGGAUCCCACAUUGCUGCGGCUCUGGUGUAGGCCGGCGGCUACAGCUCCGAUUCGACCCCUAGCCUGGGAACCUCCAUAUGCCGCAGGUGUGGCCCUAAACAGACCAAAACAACACCCAAAAACAAAAAACCCAAAGCAAGGAUUCUCUGGUGGCUUAGUGAUUAAGAGUUUGGCACUGUCGCUUCUGUGGCUCAGGUUCGAUCCCUGGCCCAGGAACUUCUGCAUUCCAGGGGUAUGGCCAAACACACACACACACACACACACACACACACUACAUUAGAUAGCUUUUCACUAAUCUGUUACCAAAAGAAUUCAACCUCAUUUUCAGCACUCCCCCAGGGUUACCUGCAAUUUUAUCUAAUCACAAUCUAAAGCCUAAUUCUUGAUGUUCUAAGUGCUUAUCUGUGAUUUUUUAUCCAGUGUCCACAGGAAUUAACAAAGGUGGUUGCAAAGACUGCCAAAUCCAACAAAGUCUGCCUCCUAAACUCCACAUUUUAUUUUAUUUUAUUUUAUUUUUUUUUGGUCUUUUUGUCUUUUUUUGUUGUUGUUGUUGUUGUUGUUGCUAUCUCUUGGGCCGCUUCCGUGGCAUAUGGAGGUUCCCAGGCUAGGGGUUGAAUCGGAGCUGUAGCCACCGGCCUACGCCAGAGCCACAGNNNNNNNNNNNNNNNNNNNNNNNNNNNNNNNNNNNNNNNNNNNNNNNNNNNNNNNNNNNNNNNNNNNNNNNNNNNNNNNNNNNNNNNNNNNNNNNNNNNNNNNNNNNNNNNNNNNNNNNNNNNNNNNNNNNNNNNNNNNNUUUUUUUUUUUUUUUUUGGUCUUUUUGUCUUUUUUUGUUGUUGUUGUUGUUGUUGCUAUAAACUCCACAUUUUAAAAGAAAGACGGCCACAGCCACCAGCCCUUCCUGGAAACAUCAUCAAGGGCAGGAAGCCGGACUCCAGGCCACUGUCACGCUCUUCACUUCAUUAACACUUAGAGCCACACUGUGGAGAGCACACAGCUGACCCCUGAACACCAUGGCGGGGUGCUGACCUGCCGGCAGUGGAAAGCCCAGGUACCGCUCAGAGUCAGCCCUUCCUACUGGCCAUUCCUCUGCAUCCGGGCUCAGCAUCUUUGGAUGCGCCGGCUGUGGAUGGCCCAGUGCUGUGUAUAGUCCUGACAUUUUUUUUUUUUUCCUUUUUCCAGGGAUGCACCUGUGGCAUAUGGAGGUUCCCAGGCUAGGGGUUGAGUCAGAGCUGUAGCUGCUGGCCUGCACCACAGCCACAGCAAUGCCAGAUCUGAGACGCGUCUGUGACCUACACCACAGCUCACGGCAACGGCGGAUCCUUAACCCACUGAGCAAGGCCAGGGAUUAACUCUUGACCUCCUAGUUGGAUAUGUUACUGCUAAGCCACAAUGGGAACUCCAACUAAGAUUCUUUUAAAUUACUUUCGUUGCUAUUAGAUUGUCGUCAACUACUUUAGUUAACUUAUUUUCAUAUAGUAAACUUGCUAUUUUUUGUCUAGGUAAAUCUUAUCAAAUGUCAACACUAUUCUUUUUUUUUUUUUUCUUUUCUUUUUAGGGCUAUACCCAUGGUAUAUGGAGGUUCCCAGGCUAGGGGUCCAAUCAGAGCUACAGCUGCCGGCCUACACCACGGCCACAGCCACACAGGAUCCAAGCCGUUUCUGCAAUCUACACCACAGCUCAUGGCAACGCCAGAUCCUUAACUCGCUGAGUGAGGCCAGGCAUCGAACCCGUGACCUCAUGGUUCCCACUCGGAUUCGUUUCUGCUGCGCCACGAUGUGAACUCCAGCACUACAGAUUCUUAAAUGUUUGGGAAUUUUUUUGGAAAGUAAAUGCCUCUUUAUAGGUAUUGAUUUGCAAAAAGUUCACAUUUUAAUGUAUGAGCAACUACUAUGUGCAUUUUUCUACCAAACAUCCCUCUAUACUGGAAAUUUAAGGUAAAAGUUAGGGACUUAUAUCUGGCACAAAAAAAGUUCUCAAUAAUUGUUUACAAAGAUAAACAAUCAGAAAACAAGUUGCUAUUUUCUGUAUAAUCAACACGCUCUCCAGAUCUGUAGCUGCUGCAGAGGUUACACGGUUCUUCCUCGGGGCGGCUUCCGAGACCUAACAGAC